GCUCUGGUGGUGGAAUUGGUAGACACGUACGCUUGAGGGGCGUAUGCUGAAAGGCGUGAGGGUUCGAGUCCCUCCCUGAGCACCA
Molecule: transfer RNA, 85 nt
Filed under: Opitutaceae bacterium
Lineage: Bacteria; Pseudomonadati; Verrucomicrobiota; Opitutia; Opitutales; Opitutaceae
Description: tRNA-Leu
Rfam family: tRNA
About the family: Transfer RNA (tRNA) molecules are approximately 80 nucleotides in length.
Source: RNAcentral